RNAcentral lists this long non-coding RNA (1474 nucleotides) under Vigna radiata. RNAcentral's name for it is "long non-coding RNA (VRAD_LNC000110)". The record is from RNAcentral. Lineage: Eukaryota; Viridiplantae; Streptophyta; Magnoliopsida; Fabales; Fabaceae.
CUCAUAAAGAAGGUCAUAGCUCAUUUGAUUGUGCAGAAUAUGUCUAUUCACUCAGAUUUCCAGAUGCAGCACACGGUUAAUACCAGAUUUGAAAACAGUUUAAACAAAUGAACAUGACUUUGACAAACCAGACACGAUGCUCAAAUAAAAUGACUCAAACAACAAUAUCACCGAAUAAAAUGAAAAUAUCACUGACUCAAGGCACAACAAGCACAGAUCAAGCAAUUUGAAGACCUAACACAGAUAUGAAGAUAUUCAUGAACAACAAAAACACAAAACUCAACAGAGAAGACAAUACAAACAGAUCAAGACAUUAAAGGAAAUGAUGAACAACGCGGAAGCUAAAGAAAAACUCAGAAUCAAAGAACUCAGACAAAACAAAUCAGAGACAAUGACCAAAACAGAAACACGAAUCACAUUGAACAAGAAUCGAGACAAAACCGAAACAGAGAAAGCAAAAAGCAGAGAUCGAGAUACUUAGCUUUGAAGCGUGCCUAACCCGAGGAAGAGAACCUAUGCUCUGAUUACCACAUGAUAAGCUCGACUCCAGUGAGGAACCAUGGAUCUGGUGCGCAUCGACAGACGAACGGGACAAGAGACGCAGCGGAAGUCGGAAAACGAAGAUAACCCUAGGUUUUGGUGGUUUGUUCGGUGUAAAUGAUAGGUUCAGGGUUUUGAGAGGUUUUAAUCGGUGGAAGAGAAAGGUUUCACCGAUUGAAUCGGUGAAAUAGAAAAUCUCGAUGUUUUAAUCGGUAUAAAAUGCUCGAAGCUAGGUUCAAUCGGUGUGAUGAAGGAGAUUGAGGUUUCAAUCGGUAAAAUGGAUCGUAGAUGAGACUUCAAUCGGUAGAAUGGUGACAAACCUGAGGGAAGAGGCUGAUCUGGCUUGAUUUCGUGAAGAAAAUGAUGUGAGGAGGAUGUGCUAUGGACGAAGAAGAAGCACGGUGGCAGACGCUCCUCGAGAGAGAUCUAGGGUUUGGAAAUAACGAAAUGAAAUUGAUGUAGGCAGCGAGAUAUGAAUAUGUGGAGUCUGACGCACGCCACGCGUAGGUUUCGUAGUGGAACGAGUGGCAUGAAUAGAUUGGUUUAUGUGGAGGAGAUACAUAGUGUAGGAGAGAGACAGCACAAUGGUAAAGUGAGAAAUGAAAAAAUGAGGUAGUGUGCUAGAAGGUGGCUAGAGGAGGUCCCUUGGACUCACUAACCUGAAUUUCAAGGGAGAAUUAUUUUCUUAUUUAGAAAACUAAAUUCUCAUUAAGCUCAAAAGUAAUUACAAGAUGUGUUAGCAUGCCUAUAUAUAGGGCUAAAUGUACCACAUGCCUAAAACAUUGUACACAUCUCUAAUACAAUUAAAAGAAAUACUAAACUAAAGACAUUAUGCUUGGGCCCCGCGUAUCACGGGCGGUACGUCGACUCUCCAAACUUCAAUUUUCUAUUCUUUUCUUGAGUCAACGACCUGUGUCUUCAACUCCAUUUUCCA